RNAcentral lists this long non-coding RNA (1266 nucleotides) under Salmo salar (Atlantic salmon). Its description in RNAcentral is "lncRNA (ENSSSAG00000106781.1)". Lineage: Eukaryota; Metazoa; Chordata; Actinopteri; Salmoniformes; Salmonidae. The record is from RNAcentral.
AUUGGUUGUCUGCCAGUUGGUUUUUAAUUCCCUCCUCGGUGACGUGGAUGCGGGGGAGGGUAUUCAUGGAAGGUAUGCUCUCCACCCAUCUCUAUAGUCACGUAAGGAGGGAGGGCACUCGUGGCAGGUGUGCCCUCUAUAUAACUCUAUGGCAAGGUAUUUGUAUUGGUAGGUUCGAGGAUAGCUCAUUUAAAUCCAGAUCCUUCACCCAGACAGCUGAGUAGUUGAGCACGACAAAUAACAACCUGUAUACGUAAAUAAACUCCAUACAAUGCCAACCAAGUCUCAGUUCAAGAUGAGCCACAUGUCAACUGUCAAUCAUUCCCAGCCAGGUAUCAUUACCUGAAUCUAUAAAGACUCUGAACUGCAUCGCUGCCUCCGCCUGCUCUUUAACUGGAGUUCCACAGUCGAUGGGCAUCACCAUAACCCUCACCUAAACCUCAAUCAGUUACACAAUAUUGUUCAGUUACAAGAUUGCAACAGGCUAGGAACGAAAGUUUUGUUCACUGUUUCCCUGGGCACCCUUAUUAGGGGAAGACAUGCAGGCAAUGUGUAUGCUCAUGUUCAGGUGAGCGCUUUGUACCUGGAAGGUCGUUUGUGUAUAAGCUAUUGUUGGUGUUGGUUUAUUUCUGUGAGCAACCAUGCUGUCUUGAAGAAAUGUUUGGGGUGUGGUCGAUUUGUUCUGAAUGGUAUCUGUUGAGUUAGACCAUCAUUGAGUUUAUUCAUUUGACAAUAUAAAAGAUGCUGAUUAAUGUAAAGCCACUGCAAUGUCAUUUUGUUUUCAGUUUGUUUGUAAGAGGCUUUGCUGGUUUUGAGAUGCAGGCAGUUUAUUAGCAGUGCCCUCCGAUAAGUUGACUGUCUUUAAGUAAAGUAAUUUUGUAUUUCUAAAAUAUCUAAUGUUUAUGUAAGUGCAGUGGUUAACUGUUUAUUUUCUACCAUCAGAAGUAAUAUUGAUUGUCACUGUUUUUGGUCAUCUGGUGAACUUUGCCAACUGAAUCUCUGUGAAAUCACUGUUGUAUUUCAGAAAGCUAUCUAGUGGAAGUAACAGGCCGUUAAGAAUUUGUUCUUAAACUGACUUGCCUAGUUAAAUAAAAGGUUUAGACAUUUAAAAAAAAAAAUCAUUUAAUGUACUCUUGUUAAUGUGUCAAACAAGCAAACCUAAUCCCCUGAGCUUUAAACGUUGGUUGUUGUCCUGCCUCUGUACUGUUUCCAUUUAAUGGGCUUAGAACCUAUAACGUUUCAGAUGUUACAAUUGUAAUAAAGCAU